GAUGCAGCCAUGCCGCGUGUAUGAAGAAGGCCUUCGGGUUGUAAAGUACUUUCAGCAGUGAGGAAGGCGGGUACGUUAAUAGCGUGCUCGUUUGACGUUAGCUGCAGAAGAAGCACCGGCUAACUCCGUGCCAGCAGCCGCGGUAAUACGGAGGGUGCGAGCGUUAAUCGGAAUUACUGGGCGUAAAGCGCAUGCAGGUGGUUUGUUAAGUCAGAUGUGAAAGCCCGGGGCUCAACCUCGGAAUUGCAUUUGAAACUGGCAGACUAGAGUACUGUAGAGGGGGGUAGAAUUUCAGGUGUAGCGGUGAAAUGCGUAGAGAUCUGAAGGAAUACCGGUGGCGAAGGCGGCCCCCUGGACAGAUACUGACACUCAGAUGCGAAAGCGUGGGGAGCAAACAGGAUUAGAUACCCUGGUAGUCCACGCCGUAAACGAUGUCUACUUGGAGGUUGUGGCCUUGAGCCGUGGCUUUCGGAGCUAACGCGUUAAGUAGACCGC
This 495-nucleotide ribosomal RNA is filed under the name Vibrio sp. RNAcentral describes it as "bacterial SSU rRNA". It matches the Rfam family "Bacterial small subunit ribosomal RNA", at positions 385 to 872 of the family's 1533-position model. Lineage: Bacteria; Pseudomonadati; Pseudomonadota; Gammaproteobacteria; Vibrionales; Vibrionaceae. The record is from RNAcentral.